Molecule: non-coding RNA, 73 nt
Organism: Procavia capensis (Cape rock hyrax)
Lineage: Eukaryota; Metazoa; Chordata; Mammalia; Hyracoidea; Procaviidae
Source: Ensembl
CUAGACAGGUGGGCUAUAAUCCCACGAAAUUUUAGUUAACAGCUAAACGCCCUAAACAACUGGCUUCAAUCUA